Molecule: ribosomal RNA, 368 nt
Filed under: uncultured organism
Description: bacterial LSU rRNA
Rfam family: Bacterial large subunit ribosomal RNA
Source: RNAcentral
CUUUACUGUAGCCUGGUAUUGGGUUCGGGCUUUGACUGCGCAGGAUAGGUGGGAGACUGAGAAGUGUGCCUUGUGGGGCACAUAGAGUCAACGGUGAGAUACCACCCUGUCAGAGCUAGAAUUCUAACCUACACCCGUGAUCCGGGGAAGGAACCGUAUCAGGUGGGCAGUUUGACUGGGGCGGUCGCCUCCUAAAAGGUAACGGAGGCGCGCAAAGGUGUUCUCAGGCUGGUUGGAAAUCAGCCGUAGAGUGUAAAGGCAGAAGAACGCUUGACUGUGAGAGUGACAACUCAAGCAGGGUGGAAACACGGCCUUAGUGAUCCGACGGUAUGCGCGUGGAAGUGCCGUCGCUCAACGGAUAAGAGUUA